AUACUUAACCUGGCAGGGAGAUACCAUGGUUGUGAAGGUGUUUUUCCCAGGGCAAGGUUUAUCCUUCAGAUGUGCUGACACCUGCAGUUUCCUGAUGGCAGAGUCC
RNAcentral lists this small nuclear RNA (106 nucleotides) under Mus caroli (Ryukyu mouse). Its description in RNAcentral is "predicted gene, 22847 (MGP_CAROLIEiJ_G0035354.1)". Lineage: Eukaryota; Metazoa; Chordata; Mammalia; Rodentia; Muridae. The record is from RNAcentral.